Paramuricea clavata is the source of this 293-nucleotide non-coding RNA. Lineage: Eukaryota; Metazoa; Cnidaria; Anthozoa; Malacalcyonacea; Plexauridae. The record is from the annotation of a GenBank genome assembly.
UUUACGAGUAAAUUACACCAAGUACUUCAUAUAUUUUUUGUGGAUUUGCGGAUUUUUUAAGGAUUUUUAAGGAUUUCUGUGGAUUUUUGAAGGAUUUCUGUGGUUUUUAAAGGAUUUUUCGGAUUUUGAUGGAUUCAACGGAUUUCAUGGAUUUUUUCCGGAUUUUUUGACGAAGUGUACGGGAUUUUUGGAGUGAAUUGCCCCUCGGUUAUAUUAAACACUGGCUACACUGCAGUUACUUAAAGCGAAAGUUUUAAUUACGUACUAGGCAUGUCCAAAGGUCGCAUCUUCAC